Long non-coding RNA from Diachasmimorpha longicaudata, 966 nucleotides. RefSeq lists it as uncharacterized. The transcript has 4 exons. The record is from RefSeq and is a predicted model, not a curated record. Lineage: Eukaryota; Metazoa; Arthropoda; Insecta; Hymenoptera; Braconidae.
UGAGAGUAAAAGCCGCUCUUAAAAGUGCCAGUGUCCGCUCGACAGUUGGAUUGGAAUUUUGAGACAAAGUCGUAAAUGUAGACUUGUAUGGUACCUGGUAGUCCAUUAACCAGUUCCUUCGAACACUCUUCGUACUCAGUGGGAGGGAGGCGUGCUAAUAUCACCAGUUUUGUUGAAAAUCUUCGACGCUAAACAGAGAAAUUUUUAGAAAUUUUCCGGGAGUCCUGUGACGGGUAGGAAAGUCCCAUUGUUAUGGAAACACCUGGAGGAUUUUACACGACGGGUUGAAUUGGGUAAAUGACUGACAUCGAAGAAAAUUCAAAAAAAAAAUUAUUUGAUAUGAGAAUUAAUGCAACCGAAAAAUUUCUGGUGUACAAGAUACAAAAGUCCAGAAGAUACGGAACUUCACAUGAAUUUACUGCCCAACCAAACGUUUCGAAUGCACAAUGCAUUCUUGGUCAGGUUUACGACUGAAUUUUGGAAAAGAAACACAUUUGGGAAUACAAAAUUACAGUGUUUGACUUGAUAAAACGGUGUAAAUUUCCAAAGUACUGCGCUUUAUUCUCCGCAACAAAAUUGAAAAAAAAAUCCGAAGGGUAGCAUGAGAGCCUUUUACGGUGGAUAAUGGAUCGACCGUGGUUGGCUCGAGGUUAGGUCGCAGCACGAGCGAUACUCCCACCAGACAAUGAGUGAUAUUGGAGUCCUGCCGAGCGGUUUUACCCGCCCCCGGACACGCCGACAGAUAAAAAAUUUGAAGGAUUGAAGCGCUGGAUGUGUUGAAAUUUCUACAAACUGCUAGAAAAAAUAUAAAUCUAAUGGACUUCUAAUAAACUUGUAAUUUUUAAGCCGACGGUAUUGAAGAACAAGGGGGAGCACAUGAAAAUAUCCGAUUUUCCGGGGAUUUUCCUGAAAUUUCAAAUAUCUGAACGCUAUUGAUACGUUCAUUGGUGAAUUUCUCACCUAGGA